ACUACGGUGUGCAGCAGUGAGGAAUAUUGGUCAAUGGCCGGGAGGCUGAACCAGCCAAGUCGCGUGAGGGGAGACGGCCCUACGGGUUGUAAACCUCUUUUGUCAGGGAGCAAGGUGCAGGUCGGGACCUGCGGUGAGAGUACCUGAAGAAAAAGCGUAGGCUAACACCGUGCCAGCAGCCGCGGUAAUACGGAGGAUGCGAGCGUUAUCCGUGUUUAUUGGGUGUAAAGGGUGCGCAGGCGGCGGAACAAGUCAGCGGUAAAAGCGCGGGGCUAAACCCAGCCCCGCCGUUGAAACUGUGUCCCUUGAGUGCGCGAAGGGUAGGCGGAAUGCGUGGUGUAGCGGUGAAAUGCAUAGAUAUCACGCAGAACUCCGAUCGCGAAGGCAGCCUACCGGCGCGCAACUGACGCUCAUGCACGAAAGCGUGGGUAUCGAACAGGAUUAGAUACCCUGGUAGUC
This 459-nucleotide ribosomal RNA is filed under the name uncultured bacterium. RNAcentral's name for it is "partial 16S ribosomal RNA". It matches the Rfam family "Bacterial small subunit ribosomal RNA", at positions 338 to 795 of the family's 1533-position model. The record is from RNAcentral.